Molecule: transfer RNA, 73 nt
Filed under: Chaetomium globosum CBS 148.51
Lineage: Eukaryota; Fungi; Ascomycota; Sordariomycetes; Sordariales; Chaetomiaceae
Description: tRNA-Thr (TGT) (tRNA-Thr-TGT-2-1)
Rfam family: tRNA
About the family: Transfer RNA (tRNA) molecules are approximately 80 nucleotides in length. Their secondary structure includes four short double-helical elements and three loops (D, anti-codon, and T loops).
Source: RNAcentral
GCCUGAUUAGCAUAGUGGCUAAUGCGUAGCACUUGUAAUGCAAAGAUCACAGGUUCGAUUCCUGUAUUAGGCA